This 821-nucleotide unclassified non-coding RNA is filed under the name Hevea brasiliensis (rubber tree). Lineage: Eukaryota; Viridiplantae; Streptophyta; Magnoliopsida; Malpighiales; Euphorbiaceae. The record is from RNAcentral.
AGAGUUCAAACAGAGGUCAAAAAAACAAAAUUUAGUACAAUUGCUUGACAAGUCAGAAUAAUUUUGCCAAAAUUUGAUCAAGAACUACUUGGCCUUUGAUAAUGUUUGGAAAUGGAGUGGUUGGUAUACUCUCAGAGGCAACCAACAAGUGGGAAAGACGGGCUCCGCUGACUCCUUCACACUGUGCUAGACUGCUGCAUGGUGGCAGGGGUAAGACCGGGGUGUCACGUAUCAUUGUGCAGCCAUCUACGAAGCGCGUUCAUCAUGAUGCUCUCUAUGAAGAUGUUGGAUGUAAGAUAUCGGAGGACUUGUCGCAAUGUGGUCUCAUCUUGGGUAUCAAACAACCCAAGUUGGAGAUGAUUCUUCCUGAUAGGGCCUAUGCCUUCUUCUCCCAUACUCACAAGGCACAAAAGGAAAAUAUGCCUUUGUUGGAUAAGAUCUUAGCUGAAAGGGCAUCUCUGUUCGACUAUGAGCUUAUAGUUGAAGACACUGGAAAGAGGUUACUUGCAUUUGGUAAAUUUGCUGGUAGAGCUGGAAUGAUUGAUUUUCUACGUGGAUUGGGACUCUGGUAUCUCAAUCAUGGCUACUCAACACCUUUUCUCUCACUCGGCUCAUCUUACAUGUACUCUUCAUUGGCUGCGGCUAAGGCUGCAGUGAUUUCUGUUGGUGAAGAGAUAGCAACUAUGGGACUUCCAUCGGGAAUCUGUCCACUUGUAUUUGUUUUCACUGGUUCUGGAAAUGGUACUGUUGAUAGUAACUUAGGCUCACUAACUUCAGUUUAUUGACAUGUUUAGUUCAGCUUCUAUUCAAGACAUAUUCUA